This 433-nucleotide ribosomal RNA is filed under the name uncultured bacterium. RNAcentral's name for it is "partial 16S ribosomal RNA". It matches the Rfam family "Bacterial small subunit ribosomal RNA", at positions 28 to 507 of the family's 1533-position model. The record is from RNAcentral.
GACGAACGCUGGCGGCAUGCCUAACACAUGCAAGUCGAACGAGACCUUCGGGUCUAGUGGCGCACGGGUGCGUAACGCGUGGGAACCUGCCCUUAGGUUCGGAAUAACUCCCCGAAGGGGGUGCUAAUACCGGAUAAUGUCUUCGGACCAAAGAUUUAUCGCCUUUGGAUGGGCCCGCGUUGGAUUAGCUAGUUGGUAGGGUAAAAGCCUACCAAGGCGACGAUCCAUAGCUGGUCUGAGAGGAUGAUCAGCCACACUGGGACUGAGACACGGCCCAGACUCCUACGGGAGGCAGCAGUGGGGAAUAUUGGACAAUGGGCGAAAGCCUGAUCCAGCAAUGCCGCGUGAGUGAUGAAGGCCUUAGGGUUGUAAAGCUCUUUUACCCGGGAUGAUAAUGACAGUACCGGGAGAAUAAGCUCCGGCUAACUCCGUG